This 326-nucleotide ribosomal RNA is filed under the name uncultured eukaryote. RNAcentral's name for it is "partial 18S ribosomal RNA". It matches the Rfam family "Eukaryotic small subunit ribosomal RNA", at positions 1470 to 1796 of the family's 1831-position model. The record is from RNAcentral.
CCCUUAGAUGUCCGGGGCCGCACGCGCGCUACACUGAAGGAAUCAGCGUGGCUUUCUCCCUGACCCGAAAGGGUUGGGAAACCCGUUGAAUCUCCUUCGUGAUAGGGAUUGGGGCUUGAAAUUGUUCCCCAUGAACGAGGAAUUCCUAGUAAGCAUGUGUCAUCAGCCCGUGCUGAUUACGUCCCUGCCCUUUGUACACACCGCCCGUCGCUCCUACCGAUUGAGUGGUCCGGUGAAUUAUUCGGACUGCAACGCGUUCAGCUUCUGGAUGCAGUUGCGGAAAGUUUUGUAAACCUUAUCACUUAGAGGAAGGAGAAGUCGUAACA